AACGCACGAGACCUGCGGACCUGCGGAAGGAUCAUUAACACGUAUCCAAACGUACCAACCACUCACUACUUGCUUAGCUAGUAGUACGAACCUUCAACCCGUGCCUCGGUUUGUGUUUGACUUUGUAGGUGACUUGUCAUCUGCAAGAGAAGCAGCCCUUUGACUGGGAACGGUCUCGGUGGCUGGAUUCGAGACAGGUUAGUUAUGCUCACUUGUUUUCUGAUCGCACAGCUGAGGUGC
RNAcentral lists this unclassified non-coding RNA (240 nucleotides) under soil metagenome. RNAcentral describes it as "partial contains 5.8S ribosomal RNA, internal transcribed spacer 2, and large subunit ribosomal RNA". The record is from RNAcentral.